GAACUUGACAUCCCACUCAGUCUCUUGAAGGAGAGAUGUAUCCUGUAACCUCACAGAGGUUACAGAAGGUGGACAC
RNAcentral lists this ribosomal RNA (76 nucleotides) under uncultured organism. RNAcentral's name for it is "partial 16S ribosomal RNA". The record is from RNAcentral.